CUACGGGUGGCUGCAGUGAGGAAUAUUGCACAAUGGGGGGAACCCUGAUGCAGCAACGCCGCGUGGAGGAUGACGCAUUUCGGUGUGUAAACUCCUUUUAUAUGUCAAGAAAAUGACGGUAGCAUAUGAAUAAGCACCGGCUAACUCCGUGCCAGCAGCCGCGGUAAUACGAAGGGUGCAAGCGUUACUCGGAAUCACUGGGCGUAAAGGGCGCGGUAGGCGGGCUUGUAAGUCAGGUGUGAAAUCCUACAGCUUAACUGUAGAACUGCACUUGAAACUACGAGCCUAGAGUAUGGGAGGGGGAGAUGGAAUUAGUGGUGUAGGGGUAAAAUCCGUAGAUAUCACUAGGAAUACCUAAAGCGAAGGCGAUCUCCUGGAACAUAACUGACGCUAAGGCGUGAAAGCGUGGGGAGCAAACAGGAUUAGAUACCCCGGUAGUC
RNAcentral lists this ribosomal RNA (440 nucleotides) under uncultured bacterium. Its description in RNAcentral is "partial 16S ribosomal RNA". It matches the Rfam family "Bacterial small subunit ribosomal RNA", at positions 339 to 795 of the family's 1533-position model. The record is from RNAcentral.